CCCUUAGAUGUUCUGGGCCGCACGCGUGCUACACUGAGUAAUUCAAUGGGUAAGGGAACGCUAGAGCAUUACCUAAUCUUGAAAUUUGCUCGUGAUGGGGAUCGACGGUUGCAAUUUUCCGUCGUGAACGAGGAAUACCUUGUAGGCGCAUGUCAUCAUCAUGCACCGAAUACGUCCCUGCCCUUUGUACACACCGCCCGUCGCUCCUACCGAUUGAGUGAUCCGGUGAGGCUCUGGGACCUGGACGGAAAGAGCGUUUCGCUUGUUCUGUUUGGGAAACUUGGUCGAACCUUAUCAUUUAGAGGAAGGAGAAGUCGUAACA
This 322-nucleotide ribosomal RNA is filed under the name uncultured eukaryote. Its description in RNAcentral is "partial 18S ribosomal RNA". It matches the Rfam family "Eukaryotic small subunit ribosomal RNA", at positions 1470 to 1796 of the family's 1831-position model. The record is from RNAcentral.